This 463-nucleotide ribosomal RNA is filed under the name uncultured Actinomyces sp. RNAcentral's name for it is "bacterial SSU rRNA". It matches the Rfam family "Bacterial small subunit ribosomal RNA", at positions 338 to 795 of the family's 1533-position model. The record is from RNAcentral. Lineage: Bacteria; Bacillati; Actinomycetota; Actinomycetes; Actinomycetales; Actinomycetaceae.
CCUACGUGAGGCAGCAGUGGGGAAUAUUGCACAAUGGGCGCAAGCCUGAUGCAGCGACGCCGCGUGAGGGAUGGAGGCCUUCGGGUUGUGAACCUCUUUCGCCAGUGAAGAAGGUCCUGCUCUUUGUGGUGGGGUUGACGGUAGCUGGGUUAAUGAAGCGCCGGCUAACUACGUGCCAGCAGCCGCGGUAAUACGUAGGGCGCGAGCGUUGGCCGGAAUUAUUGGGCGUAAAGGGCUUGUAGGCGGCUGGGCGCGUCUGCCGGGAAAUCCUCUGGCUCAGCUGGGGGCGUGCGGUGGGUACGGGCUGGCUUGAGUGCGGUAGGGGAGACUGGAACUCCUGGUGUAGCGGUGGAAUGCGCAGAUAUCAGGAGGAACACCGGUGGCGAAGGCGGGUCUCUGGGCCGUUACUGACGCUGAGGAGCGAAAGCGUGGGGAGCGAACAGGAUUAGAUACCCCUGUAGUC